UACAGAGGUCUCGAGCGUUAGGCGGAAUCACUGGGCUUAAAGCGUGUGUAGGCGGAUCGUUAAGUGGCUUGUGAAAUCCCACGGCUCAACCGUGGAACUGCUUGGCAUACUGGCGGUCUUGAGCAACCUAGGGGCGAGCGGAACAAAUGGUGGAGCGGUGAAAUGCGUAGAUAUCAUGUGGAACGCCAAUGGUGAAAACAGCUCGCUGGGGGUUUGCUGACGCUGAGACACGAAAGCCAGGGGAGCAAACGGG
This 253-nucleotide ribosomal RNA is filed under the name uncultured bacterium. RNAcentral describes it as "partial 16S ribosomal RNA". It matches the Rfam family "Bacterial small subunit ribosomal RNA", at positions 524 to 776 of the family's 1533-position model. The record is from RNAcentral.